Molecule: long non-coding RNA, 1045 nt
Organism: Galleria mellonella (greater wax moth)
Lineage: Eukaryota; Metazoa; Arthropoda; Insecta; Lepidoptera; Pyralidae
Exons: 4
Source: RefSeq, a predicted model, not a curated record
UCGUAAGUUCCCGGCGACAGCACCUCUGAAACCUUCAGUUAGUGACAGAACCAUUCCCAAAACGGACGGACGCUCGCCCCUCACGAUAAUGCAUUGAACAUUCGUAAAAAAAUUACGGACUAACAAUUUUGAAAUAAUCAAAAUAUACAUACUAUACUUAAGGAACAAUUCAAUUACUAAGUAUAUUUAAGGAAUAGUAAGGUCAUUUGUUUUUAUUGGGUUAGUGUAAGUGAGUUUAUAAGUGCUUGCGUCUAGCAGAAACUUUCUUCGAAGAAGUUAUUGCGAUAACGAUGUCAAAACUACUUGACUAAGAAACUUUGAUUUACAAUGGAAGUCAAGAUCGAAAGGCAUCACAUGUCCUAAAUAAAUAGGUAUCAUACAAGGGUUUCCCGUACAAAGCAACAUCAUGUCAGGAAUGGUGAAUGAAAAUAAUGAGCGGCAGCCGACAGCAUGGAGGCGAAUAUCACAAAAGCACCGCGUUGUGGCGCAGAAACGUCACUCUAUACCUCCAUCUAAUCAAGUAAACCGUAUGCUCAGAGACUAAAUUUGAAUAAUGAAUGGGGACACAGAAGAUUUCAAAGCGCGCGAAAUUAGAAUGGAUCUACCGAAAACAAUGUGCGCCGACGACUGCCAUAACGUCACCAAAAUAACAGCGUUCCAGCUUCGACCACCUGAUCCUAAUGCCACUUUCCUAAAUCGGCCAUUUAUAAAUGAAAAAGUCAACGAAAGUGAGUCGAUAAACCUCAGGAUGUCGUGGAACUUUAACGAUUCAAUCAGUGAGAUGUACGGAUUCGAUAUGACUCUAAACGGAACGUUCUGGAACUGUACUUCAGAAAAUGGAACUUGUGCUAGUGAUGUGCAUAAUUAUAACUUUUGGGCACUUUCGUUGUUAGUGUUCCCCUUAUUAACGUUAUUCGGAAAUGUUUUAGUUAUAAUGAGUGUGGCUAGGGAGAGAAGUUUGCAGACUGCAACGAAUUAUUUUAUAGUGAGUCUAGCUGUGGCCGAUUUGUUAGUAGCUGUGGUAGUUAUGCCAUUUGGAGUAUAC